This 407-nucleotide ribosomal RNA is filed under the name uncultured bacterium. RNAcentral's name for it is "partial 16S ribosomal RNA". It matches the Rfam family "Bacterial small subunit ribosomal RNA", at positions 30 to 526 of the family's 1533-position model. The record is from RNAcentral.
AUUGAACGCUGGCGGCAUGCCUAACACAUGCAAGUCGAGCGGAGCGGCGGACGGGUGAGUAAUGCCUAGGAAUCUGCCUGGUAGCGUGGGAUAACGUCCGGAUACGGGCCCUAAUACCGCAUACUAUUAGAUUAGCCUAGGUCGGAUUAGCUAGUUGGUGGGGUAAAGGCCUACCAAGGCGACGAUCCGUACCUGGUCUGAGAGGAUGAUCAGUCACACUGGAACUGGGACACGGUCCAGACUCCUACGGGAGGAAGCAGUGGGGAAUAUUGGACAAUGGGCGAAAGCCUGAUCCAGCCAGGCCGCGUGUGUGAAGAAGGUCUUCGGAUUGUAAAGCACUUUAAGUUGGGAGGCGUUACCAACAGAAUAAGCACCGGCUAACUACGUGCCAGCAGCCGCGGUAAUUC